RNAcentral lists this ribosomal RNA (254 nucleotides) under uncultured bacterium. Its description in RNAcentral is "partial 16S ribosomal RNA". It matches the Rfam family "Bacterial small subunit ribosomal RNA", at positions 524 to 776 of the family's 1533-position model. The record is from RNAcentral.
UACGUAGGGUGCGAGCGUUGUCCGGAAUUAUUGGGCGUAAAGAGCUCGUAGGCGGUGUGUCGCGUCGGCCGUGAAAACCUGGGGCUUAACUCUGGGCGUGCGGUCGAUACGGGCAUCACUAGAGUUCGGCAGGGGAGACUGGAAUUCCUGGUGUAGCGGUGAAAUGCGCAGAUAUCAGGAGGAACACCGGUGGCGAAGGCGGGUCUCUGGGCCGAUACUGACGCUGAGGAGCGAAAGCUAGGGGAGCGAACAGG